CCAGAUGCUUGUAAACAGUUGUGCCUGCAAGUAAGCCAAGAAGCCUUCUCAAAAACAUCGCACGUGGCGAAGCAACUGGCCCCGCCUCCAUCAGCAGAUGCCAACAGCGUUUCAUUUCCUGUUCGUGAGAUCCUUUGGUCAUCAGUGAAAUCUGUGUGAGAUGUAACUACAAACGACAGUGACAAGGAAUUAUCUGAUUUACAUGAUAAGUCACAUGCCAGGAAGUUCUGUUGAUCAGCUCCGCUCUGUAUUUCUCCAUUGUGCUUAAUAAACAGAAAGUGGAGAAGGUAACGAGGAAAAAUCAGAAGCAGCUGCAGUACAAGCAGGAGUGAAGGAGAGCUGAUUUUCCCCCAGCCAGCAGGGAUGUCCCUGCUCAUGUAUUCACAGAAGCUGCUUUGCAGAGCCAGACCACUUUAAUCUACUCAUUCAACCAACACAUCUGCCUACGACACGACAGGCACUGGAAACAAGAUGCAGUAUACGAAUUUGACACAUUCGUCAUCAGAACAUCCCCCAAGGUCCCGGGGCUCCGGACGUAAGAUGUUCCCAACGACCGUGAGAGAGACACCUGCAUCGGUGGCCUGGGUCAGCCCAUCUCAGGCUGCGGCCUCACCGUCCACGUGACCUGCUGGAGGCCCCCAGAUCUCUGGGCUGCCAUAAUGAAAUGACCUGCACGAGCGCCGAGCACACACUGGGAGCUCGGCUCUGAUGGAACCAAAAGCAGAGAGGAGGCCUGGGAUCACCAGGGUAAGGUGUGUGCAGGAGGCGGGCCCAUUCUCUGCAAGCAGCUCUGCCUGCAGGCACUGAAGCCAGCAGUUUAUCUGAAAUGCGAAGGAGAUGACAAAGUGCCCCACCCCCCUGAGAAAGUCCUGCCUUGGUGCCACCUGUUAACUGAUUUCCAGUGAGACAGGACUGCAGUCCGGGGUGGUCGGUCUUCCAGGGCCUGCUUGGUUGGCAUAAGGCUUACUCUGUUGUCUGUAGAACCAGCUCUGCAGUCACAGUGAACGUGGCAAACGGGAGCAUAGGUGAAGCGUUGAGGAUGGUGAGCCAGCGAUUGGUUUCUCUUCUCUCCGUCCCCUGGGAUGAUACAGAGCAGAGAAGCCAAGGCCAAGGCCUCCACGGAUGUGGGUCGGCGAGGGGAGGGAGCCUGGGCUCCUCCUCCCACCUGCUCAAUCGCGAGCAUCAUGCAGGCAGCUGGGGAAGGAGCUGUGUGCUAGGGAAGGAGCAGGUGCAAUCUUUCCUGGCUGGGAACACAGCCGUUGUGCACGCUCUCAAUAAAGUAGGACUCCCAGAAUGUCCCCACGAUCCCAGGGCACCUCAUGCGACGAUGGAGAGCAAAUCCACACUAUGUCAGUUUUCUAGAUGACCUCCGUGGUGAAAAGUUUAGGGUGCAUCUCCUUUAACUACUGAAUCGGGGCAGAGAGCUCUCAGAAAUUACGCUGAAAGCAGAACUUGAGAAUCCAGGCAGAGCAGAAGGAAGGAGGCUUUACUCUGACUGAUGUCCAGAGCCUGGCGCCCUCCACCCAGCUCCUGUUUCUUCUCCCUACGGCCGCUGCUGUGUGAGGUAGAUGCUCGCAGCCGCAGCCAACCGUGCUGGUUUCUUUUCGGUUCCUUCCCUAGAGCCGCUCUAGUAGGAGAAGAGCACCCCGUCUGUGAGCCCUGCCCACCUGCGCACACGUCUCCCUGGCAGCCCCGAGUCCUGUGCAGUUGCUGGUUAUUUUAAUUGAAUGAUAAAGGAUGUGGGUGUGAAUUAAUUCUACAAGCAGGUAGGGCUAAGGGAUGGAUUAUAUGGAGAAGAGAGUCUUUUUAGUGCAAAUUCUAGUCCACUCAGGAUGCAUAACUCGUAGCAGGACCAGUAACCUCAGCAGGGCCGCUUCCUCCUGGAACCUGUGGUCUAUCAGGGACUCCCCUUGACGUCCACAGUAGGAUGGAGACCGUGGACCAGGGAACGAGCUCAGACCCAAAGCCGCGCGCUCGCUGGUUCUUAUCCAUGAAAUAAGCUGCUGCCUCACUUACCUCCAAAACAUCCUUUGAACUCUAAGAGGAGAGAUUUUACUUGUUCUCUCUGGGACUGCUGAGAGCACAAUGCGAGGAUAGGAAAAGUGCACUGGAACAGAAGGGGCAAACCCUCAAGCCCGGAGGUGGGAGAUGGGUCUGCUUCACUUACUGGCCCAGGAUCUUGGCCCCGUCCUUCCUCUGGGUACGCUGGGCUAGACGGGGAGUGAGAGGGCUGUGCGUGCAGAGGCCACGGAUGUUCCUGGAACGGCCUGCACGUGAGGGAGGGAUCCAUGCGGUGAACCAGGAUGGCUGGGCCAGGGAGGCGCCUCCCACCCGAAGGCCGCUUUACAGAUGGGCGAGAAAGUGGAGUCGUGAACUUAUUGUUAAUGUUGUUCUGGCAAACGCUGUGCUGCAGACGCUCCCACCCUCCCACUGCUCCUGCCAGAACGUAUAGUUUGAAAGGACACUUUCAGACCCCUCCUUCCACAGAAUUCACCUCUGGAGACUGAGCCCCAUCCCGAGAAGGCAUGUUCCAGUUAGCAACAGGGAAGCACGCUCACCUGUGUUUCAUUCAUAUGGAAAAUGCGGUGAAACAGAAAUUAAAGUUUUCUCUCACAUCUUCUGUCUCCUGACACCGGUAGACAAGGAGUAACCAUAGUAACAGAUGCCUGGAGAAUGGAGCAGUGGGAGGGGGGUGAGGAAGACCCGGAAAGUGACCGCCCCCCGGCCCUGGGGCCCCGUGUCCUCAGGGAAGUCUCACCUCCCUUCUCUCACCUGGAUUUUGGUGGAAGAUGUUUUCCUCUUUCUCCCAAAAUUACCAGGAAGAGAAAUAGACAGAAAAACCACCUUACAAAUAUAGACUAUACUGAAUACAGAGAGAAAAUGCAGAAGUGAAGCUAUUCCUUACACACACACAAAUUCCCUCAGACUGAGAGAAUCACCUCAGUUUUAAAGAUAGAGUGGAAGUUUGCUUAAAAAAACCCAGCAUUGAUUGCAAGUGUUUCCAAUGACAUCAAAUAAAAAUCAGACCAUUGGGGUCAUUUCAGAAAUAGACCUCUCGCCGUGGUGCUGAGGACAAUGUCAGGUCGCUGAGAGCACCUCGGCCCGAGCCAUCCUGCCUCUCCCGGGCCAGGAGGAGAGGCUCUCCCUGGGGAGAGGCCUUGAGAAACCAUCCUUCCUAAGGGCCCCCCUGUUAUAAACAGGAUUUUUUUUUUUAAUUACAAAAUGUCGGGAAGUACAAUCUACCAAGGAGGCAAGACGUUCCAGGUGGCAGGGAAUGGAUUUGCUCCUCAGAACGAUGUGCCGGAAAGGACAUGAGGUGGGAGGCAGGACUGGCCUCGGGGAUGGUUUUCUGGGGCGCAGGACCAGGUUUCCCGCCACCCCCGAGGCCCUGCCCAGAACUCGGUUGAACUCGAGAAAGUGGAAAACACAGCGUCCCCAGCGAGGCUGCCAGCAGAAGCCAGCGCGCCCUGCGCUGCUUUCCUGAACGUUUGCCCAGGCUGCACUUCCAAGGGCAUUUUGGCCACAAGAACUGCGCUCAGCUUUGGCCUGUUCACCUCGAGUGGACAGAGGAAGCGUCUCAGCCCCAGAUUCUGAGGCCACAGGAGCUGCCAAGAAGGAGGGAGCGUCUGUUCCUGCCUGCAAGAUCAGGCCUUCUGAGUAAAUAUUUGUGUCCUUUGGUUAAUUGCAUAAAGUAUCUUAUCUUUAUCAUGGAGCGGGAGGCAUGCAUGUUUGUUGACUCCUGCUGUCAAUCCAUAGGCAACAGGAAAUGUUGCAAAAUCAUUUUAAAAACUCAGUGAGAAUAGAAUAGAGUGAAACUUUCUCCUAAGGAAUAAAUUGCUAAAUAACUUUUGACCCCUUUAAAAAAUAAUAGAAGAUAAUAAAAGAGGCAAAAGGGAUUGUUCUGUGUAACCAGCAGUGAGUAGGCAGGCAAUUUGAUGAUAAAAGUACAUGCUUGGAACAAUAAAGGAUACUGUUCUUUUAGCAUUUUUUUAAAAAAUUUUCUGGAUGUGAACAGCUAAGAGUUGACCAUUGCUUCUCCAUUCCAAAUCACAUCCCUUAAUAUGGGAAGAGGAUUUCAGACCUUCAUUAUCUACACGUAGCCUACUGAAAAUUAAAGUUUUGGGUUUUUGUUUCUGAAAAACAGAAGUACUCAUUUUAUCUGACUUGAUGAAAAGUGGCAUGAUUGAGCUCAGAGACCUUGAUUACAAUCCUAGCUGUGCAACCGUCAGCAUUUACCUGCCAGCUUUCUUUCACGUUCUGCUUCCUCACUGUAAAUGAAGAGGUAAAGGAACCAAAUUCUCUGUAGCACAAAAAAGUGAUGAGCCGGGUGCAUGGGUAGAUUAAUAAAUAAGAAAACAGUAGAUUAGAUUAAAAUGGUAGGUAGAAUGAUGAUAGAUUCAAUAGAUAGUUGAUAGGGAUAGAUCAUGGACCCAUGGAUAAUAGCUGAUAGAUUAGAUAUAGAGAGAGAUGAUAAAUAGAUGAUAGAUAAUAGGUGACAGACAGAUGAUAGACACAAUGUAACAGACAACAGAUGACAGAGAUAGAUACAUAAUAGACACAUAGAUGAGAGAUGAUAGAGAAAACAGAGAGAUCAUCAAUCAACAGAUAAUAGAUGAUUAGGUAGAUAGAUGAUAGAUAGAUAGACAGGUGUGUUACUUGAGCAACAACAUUCAUUCCUGCUCCAUGGCGUGACCAUAGGUAUUCAUAAGGAAAGAUGUCAGCAACAAUUCAAAUAAGAAGUUUUAAGUCCUCAGUACUAAUCACAGAUGUUAAAGCUGUUAUCCCCAAACAGACCAAUAGUUCUCUUUAAAAUAACUUUUUAUUUUAUUUUAUUUUUUAUUGAAGUGUAGUUGAUUUACAAUGUUGUGUUAGUUUCAGGUGUACAGCAAAGUGGUUCA
Long non-coding RNA from Aethalodelphis obliquidens (Pacific white-sided dolphin), 4898 nucleotides. RefSeq lists it as uncharacterized. Lineage: Eukaryota; Metazoa; Chordata; Mammalia; Artiodactyla; Delphinidae. The record is from RefSeq and is a predicted model, not a curated record. The transcript is spliced from 4 exons.